UACGUAGGGCGCAAGCGUUGUCCGGAAUUAUUGGGCGUAAAGAGCUCGUAGGCGGUUUGUCACGUCGGAUGUGAAAGCCCGGGGCUUAACCCCGGGUCUGCAUUCGAUACGGGCAGACUAGAGUGUGGUAGGGGAGAUCGGAAUUCCUGGUGUAGCGGUGGAAUGCGCAGAUAUCAGGAAGAACACCGGUGGCGAAGGCGGCUCUCUGGGCCUUACCUGACGCUGAGGAGCGAAAGCGUGGGUAGCGAACAGG
RNAcentral lists this ribosomal RNA (253 nucleotides) under uncultured bacterium. RNAcentral's name for it is "partial 16S ribosomal RNA". It matches the Rfam family "Bacterial small subunit ribosomal RNA", at positions 524 to 776 of the family's 1533-position model. The record is from RNAcentral.